UGAGCAAUCUGCCCUUCUCAUCGGAAUAAGCGUUGGAAACGACGUCUAAUGCCGAAUACGACCUCCUUUCGCAUGAUCGGAGGUGGAAAGCUCCGGCGGAGAAGGAUGAGCUCGCGGCCUAUCAGCUAGUUGGUGUGGGUAAUGGCCCACCAAAGCGACGACGGGUAGCCGGCCUGGAGGUAGGGUCGGACCCGGCCAACACGGUGGGACUGGACGACCGACCGGCCCAAGUACCCUCCGGUAACGGGAGC
This 251-nucleotide ribosomal RNA is filed under the name uncultured bacterium. Its description in RNAcentral is "partial 16S ribosomal RNA". The stretch from base 1 to 193 matches the Rfam family "Bacterial small subunit ribosomal RNA", at positions 118 to 311 of the family's 1533-position model. The record is from RNAcentral.